CUGCUCGUUUCUCUUCAGAUUGUAUAAUUCUUUCGCCUUUUACUAAAGAUUUCCGUGGAGAGGAACAUUAAGAGUUUCAAAUUAUUUUUUGGUACUCUGCGUCAUGCAACAA
Small nuclear RNA from Perca fluviatilis (European perch), 112 nucleotides. RefSeq annotates it as U5 spliceosomal RNA. NCBI's taxonomy places the organism in Eukaryota, Metazoa, Chordata, Actinopteri, Perciformes, Percidae. The transcript has a single exon. The record is from RefSeq and is a predicted model, not a curated record.